Molecule: unclassified non-coding RNA, 413 nt
Filed under: Hevea brasiliensis (rubber tree)
Lineage: Eukaryota; Viridiplantae; Streptophyta; Magnoliopsida; Malpighiales; Euphorbiaceae
Source: RNAcentral
AACUUAUCAAAUUUAAUUUUAAAUAAUCUCUAACUAGUAUAUUUAAAAAAGUGAUUUUCUCAACAGCAGUUUCAACAGUAAUGCCAAACAGACCCUAAAUUAUACCUUAUAAUAUAUAUUUAAGUGUUUCUUGACAGUUAAUGAGGAAACUUAGCUACUAGAAUGUUGUGCAGUUUAGGAGACUAAUAAUGUAAACGCCUAUAUAUGAAAGUAAAUCAUAUAUUGACCUUUGGAAAGACAAUCAGGCAUUCUUAUCGUACAAUUCAAUUUAUAAUCAGCUUUGAGUUAUUCUGUUUACUUUUUUAUUUUUCUAUUAGCUAUUUCAGAAUCUUCAGGAAGAAGUUUUAGAAGACCACUGGUGCAAAUAUGUUGAAGGCAUUUUCUUCCCUUGAAUUUCUUAGUUUUAUCUAUGA